ACACACACCCCCUUAACCCGUGAUGAGUGACCCACCUUGGCUUCCUCUCUCAUCUUACAGUAAGUGGGGGUUUUUGUAUACUCUAAAGUAUCAAAUAAAACUUGUGUGAAUUUCAUGUCACAAUCCUCUCAGCAAGAUCAAAAAACUCUUAAUAGUGUUGUCAUCUUCUUCACCCAAGUUUUGGAAAGAGAGGAAGAAGAGGAAAAGGGAGGGAGA
Molecule: long non-coding RNA, 216 nt
Filed under: Elaeis guineensis (African oil palm)
Lineage: Eukaryota; Viridiplantae; Streptophyta; Magnoliopsida; Arecales; Arecaceae
Description: long non-coding RNA (EGUI_LNC067144)
Source: RNAcentral